GGGGAAUAUUGGGCAAUGACGCAAGUCUGACCCAGCAACGCCGCGUGAAGGAAGAAGGCUUUCGGGUUGUAAACUUCUUUUAAGGGGGAAGAGCAGAAGACGGUACCCCUUGAAUAAGCCACGGCUAACUAC
This 132-nucleotide ribosomal RNA is filed under the name uncultured bacterium. RNAcentral's name for it is "partial 16S ribosomal RNA". It matches the Rfam family "Bacterial small subunit ribosomal RNA", at positions 356 to 504 of the family's 1533-position model. The record is from RNAcentral.